AUUGAACGCUGGCGGCAUGCCUUACACAUGCAAGUCGAACGGCAGCACGGGAGCAAUCCUGCCGGCGAGUGGCGAACGGGUGAGUAAUACAUCGGAACGUGCCCUGUAGUGGGGGAUAACUAGUCGAAAGGUUAGCUAAUACCGCAUACGACCUGAGGGUGAAAGGGGGGGACCGCAAGGCCUCAUGCUAUAGGAGCGGCCGAUGUCUGAUUAGCUAGUUGGUGGGGUAAAGGCCUACCAAGGCGACGAUCAGUAGCUGGUCUGAGAGGACGAUCAGCCACACUGGGACUGAGACACGGCCCAGACUCCUACGGGAGGCAGCAGUGGGGAAUUUUGGACAAUGGGCGAAAGCCUGAUCCAGCAAUGCCGCGUGUGUGAAGAAGGCCUUCGGGUUGUAAAGCACUUUUGUCCGGAAAGAAAUGGCUCUGGUUAAUACCUGGGGUCGAUGACGGUACCGGAAGAAUAAGGACCGGCUAACUACGUGCCAGCCGCCGCCGUAA
Molecule: ribosomal RNA, 500 nt
Filed under: uncultured bacterium
Lineage: Bacteria
Description: partial 16S ribosomal RNA
Rfam family: Bacterial small subunit ribosomal RNA
Source: RNAcentral